RNAcentral lists this long non-coding RNA (380 nucleotides) under Hordeum vulgare. Its description in RNAcentral is "long non-coding RNA (HVUL_LNC009314)". Lineage: Eukaryota; Viridiplantae; Streptophyta; Magnoliopsida; Poales; Poaceae. The record is from RNAcentral.
CGCAGCCCCGGCCCGGCCCCUGGCCCGCGCGCCACCGUGCCUCCGCGACCCCACUCACCGCCACCCCGGGCGCCAUCGCGCUCCUCACCAGCGGCCGGAUCCAGGGAGUCGGACAUAUUGUCCACCCCACCGGCCUUCCAUUUUCUACCAUUCCCUGCCUCGCUGGGGCCGAUGGGAAAUCCCUCUUUCACAGAGCUCCGCAAGCCACGACCGCAUCGGGGCCGACGAUUUCGGCAAGAUCCGUCGUGCCUCCCACAGGAUCCAAGCGGGGUUGAGCUUCACCAGGUAUCCACCGGCGACCAGUACUCUGUGUCUCCCCUGUUCUACCUCCCCUUCUCCUCCCGUAAGGGUUCGUUCCCACAAACAGAGAGUUCGCUUGG